Molecule: long non-coding RNA, 737 nt
Filed under: Monodelphis domestica (gray short-tailed opossum)
Lineage: Eukaryota; Metazoa; Chordata; Mammalia; Didelphimorphia; Didelphidae
Description: lncRNA (ENSMODG00000050979.1)
Source: RNAcentral
CCCUUUCUUUGAUCUCUUUGGGACAUAGACUUAGUAAUGGUACUGCUGUGUCCAACAGUAUGCACAGUUUGAUGGCCUUUUAAGCAUGGUUUCAGAUUGAUCUCCAGAAUGGUUAUAUCAGUUCAUAGCUCCACUGGCAUUGUGUUAGUAGUCCAAUUCUUCCAUAUCCCCUCUAACAUUCAUCAUUUCCCACUUUUGUCAUGUUAGCCAGUUUAAUGGUAUGCUAAUGUUUAACGGUAUGCUGAUGUAGACAGGAGAUAAAUUCAGUGGAGUUCCCUCUCUUGGCCACUUUUUCCUUCCUGUGGUGGCUUUGGUGGAGCAGGCUUUUUUGAGCAGAUGUGCAUGUAAAAUUUUAAAUACUGGCAGAAAUCUGAUGUAUGCCUAGAAAGAUCCUAUACUCUGAAAUAACAGUUGAUGGGAAUAUUUUUUAAGGACAAUGGAGCAGUAAUGUGGCAAAUGCCUUGAAUAUACUUCCCUUAGUCCUCAGGCACAAUGACAUCACCUCUCAGCUUCCAAAUAGUAUUUCUGAGACUCCUCUACUACUUUUGUUCCAGUGUCAGCUCCUUAUUCUCCUCUGUUAGUGAUUUGGAUCAUGGCCCAGAAGAUUUGAGAGAGGAGACUUGUUUCCAGACUCUCUUCACUUCCCUGAAGGGAGAGAAAAACUAUAGGAUGAAGCCAGCUAACUACUAAACUCUUUAGGGAAUUUCCCCUUGGAUCAGAUCUGGGAUUCUCUCUCU